RNAcentral lists this ribosomal RNA (497 nucleotides) under uncultured bacterium. RNAcentral's name for it is "partial 16S ribosomal RNA". It matches the Rfam family "Bacterial small subunit ribosomal RNA", at positions 28 to 507 of the family's 1533-position model. The record is from RNAcentral.
GAUGAACGCUGGCGGCGUGCCUAAUACAUGCAAGUCGAGCGAACAGACGAGGAGCUUGCUCCUCUGACGUUAGCGGCGGACGGGUGAGUAACACGUGGAUAACCUACCUAUAAGACUGGGAUAACUUCGGGAAACCGGAGCUAAUACCGGAUAAUAUAUUGAACCGCAUGGUUCAAUAGUGAAAGACGGUUUUGCUGUCACUUAUAGAUGGAUCCGCGCCGCAUUAGCUAGUUGGUAAGGUAACGGCUUACCAAGGCAACGAUGCGUAGCCGACCUGAGAGGGUGAUAGGCCACACUGGAGCUUGGACACGGUCCAGACUCCUAAGGGAGGCAGCAGUAGGGAAUCUUCCGCAAUGGGCGAAAGCCUGACGGAGCAACGCCGCGUGAGUGAUGAAGGUCUUCGGAUCGUAAAACUCUGUUAUUAGGGAAGAACAAAUGUGUAAGUAACUAUGCACGUCUUGACGGUACCUAAUCAGAAAGCCACGGCUAACUACGUG